GAGUUUGAUCGUGGCUCAGGACGAACGCUGGCGGCGUGCUUAACACAUGCAAGUCGAGGGCACUGGUUUCGGCCAGUGACCGGCGAACGGGUGCGUAACACGUGAGCGACCUGCCCAACUGCGGGGGAUAGCCGGCCCAACGGCCGGGUAAUACCGCAUACGCUCUCUGGGGGGCAUCUCCUGGGGAGGAAACUUCCGGGGCGGUUGGAGGGGCUCGCGGCCUAUCAGCUAGUUGGGGGGUAACGGGCC
Molecule: ribosomal RNA, 249 nt
Filed under: uncultured Gemmatimonadota bacterium
Lineage: Bacteria; Pseudomonadati; Gemmatimonadota
Description: uncultured Gemmatimonadetes bacterium partial 16S ribosomal RNA
Rfam family: Bacterial small subunit ribosomal RNA
Source: RNAcentral